UACGAAGGGGGCUAGCGUUGCUCGGAAUCACUGGGCGUAAAGGGUGCGUAGGCGGGCUUUUAAGUCAGGGGUGAAAUCCCGGAGCUCAACUCCAGAACUGCCUUUGAUACUGAAGAUCUCGAGUCCGGGAGAGGUGAGUGGAACUGCGAGUGUAGAGGUGAAAUUCGUAGAUAUUCGCAAGAACACCAGUGGCGAAGGCGGCUCACUGGCCCGGUACUGACGCUGAGGCACGAAAGCGUGGGGAGCAAACAGG
RNAcentral lists this ribosomal RNA (253 nucleotides) under uncultured bacterium. RNAcentral's name for it is "partial 16S ribosomal RNA". It matches the Rfam family "Bacterial small subunit ribosomal RNA", at positions 524 to 776 of the family's 1533-position model. The record is from RNAcentral.